This 339-nucleotide ribosomal RNA is filed under the name uncultured Bacillota bacterium. RNAcentral's name for it is "bacterial SSU rRNA". It matches the Rfam family "Bacterial small subunit ribosomal RNA", at positions 28 to 351 of the family's 1533-position model. Lineage: Bacteria; Bacillati; Bacillota. The record is from RNAcentral.
GACGAACGCUGGCGGCAUGCCUAAUACAUGCAAGUCGAACGGAUCUUGUUUGAGAGCUUGCUCUCAAACUUGGUUAGUGGCGGACGGGUGAGUAACACGUAGGCAACCUGCCCAUAAGAUCGGGAUAACAUUCGGAAACGGAUGCUAAGACCGGAUAAACAUUUGGCCGCAUGGCCUUGUUGGGAAACACGGAGUAAUCUGUGGCUUUGUGGAUGGGCCUGCGGCGCAUUAGCUAGUUGGUGGGGUAAUGGCUCACCAAGGCGACGAUGCGUAGCCGACCUGAGAGGGUGAACGGCCACACUGGGACUGAGACACGGCCCAGACUCCUACGGGAGGCAG